UGUUGAAACACCAGUUCUUUUAUGAUCACCAAAGUUAAGCAACAUUGAGUCUGGUCAGUAUUUAGAUGGGUGACUGCGAGAGAAUACCAGAUGCUGUGA
Non-coding RNA from Acanthosepion pharaonis, 99 nucleotides. The record is from the annotation of a GenBank genome assembly. Lineage: Eukaryota; Metazoa; Mollusca; Cephalopoda; Sepiida; Sepiidae.